AUUUUCUGCAGCUUCUAACUCCCACCCAUGUGAACUUACCUUUUGUUGCCUCGGCAGAAGUUAUAGGUCUUCUUAUAGCUGCUGCCGGUGGACCAUUAAACUCUUGUUAUUUUAUGUAAUCUGAGCGUCUUAUUUUAAUAAGUCAAAACUUUCAACAACGGAUCUCUUGGUUCUGGCAUCGAUGAAGAACGCAGCGAAAUGCGAUAAGUAAUGUGAAUUGCAGAAUUCAGUGAAUCAUCGAAUCUUUGAACGCACAUUGCGCCCAUUAGUAUUCUAGUGGGCAUGCCUGUUCGAGCGUCAUUUCAACCCUUAAGCCUAGCUUAGUGUUGGGAAUCUACUUCUCUUAGGAGUUGUAGUUCCUGAAAUACAACGGCGGAUUUGUAGUAUCCUCUGAGCGUAGUAAUUUUUUUCUCGCUUUUGUUAGGUGCUAUGACUCCCAGCCGCUAAACCCCCAAUUUUUUGUGGUUGACCUCGGAUCAGGUAGGAAUACCCGCUGAACUUAAGCAUAUCAAUAAGCGGAAGAAGAA
This 527-nucleotide ribosomal RNA is filed under the name Truncatella angustata. RNAcentral describes it as "eukaryotic LSU rRNA". The stretch from base 147 to 300 matches the Rfam family "5.8S ribosomal RNA". The record is from RNAcentral. Lineage: Eukaryota; Fungi; Ascomycota; Sordariomycetes; Amphisphaeriales; Sporocadaceae.